Molecule: non-coding RNA, 134 nt
Organism: Podarcis lilfordi (Lilford's wall lizard)
Lineage: Eukaryota; Metazoa; Chordata; Lepidosauria; Squamata; Lacertidae
Source: the annotation of a GenBank genome assembly
AGGCAUAGGCAACCUCAGUCCUCCAGAUGUUUUGGGACUACAACUCCCAUGAUCCCUAGCUAACAGGACCAGCUGUCAGGGAGGAUGGGAAUUGUAGUCUCCAAACAUCUGGAGGGCCGAGGUUGCCUAUGCCU